GAUGAACGCUGGCGGCGUGCCUAACACAUGCCAGUCGAACGAAGCACCUUACCUGAUUCUUCGGAUGAAAGUUUGGUGACUGAGUGGCGGACGGGUGAGUAACGCGUGGGUAACCUGCCCUGUACAGGGGGAUAACAGCUGGAAACGGCUGCUAAUACCGCAUAAGCGCACGAGGAGACAUCUCCUUGUGUGAAAAACUCCGGUGGUACAGGAUGGGCCCGCGUCUGAUUAGCUGGUUGGCAGGGUAACGGCCUACCAAGGCAACGAUCAGUAGCCGGGAUGAGAGGAUGAACGGCCACAUUGGAACUGAGACACGGUCCAAACUCCUACGGGAGGCAGCAGUGGGGAAUAUUGCACAAUGGGGGAAACCCUGAUGCAGCAACGCCGCGUGAGUGAAGAAGUAUUUCGGUAUGUAAAGCUCUAUCAGCAGGGAAGAUAAUGACGGUACCUGACUAAGAAGCACCGGCUAAAUACGUG
This 477-nucleotide ribosomal RNA is filed under the name uncultured bacterium. Its description in RNAcentral is "partial 16S ribosomal RNA". It matches the Rfam family "Bacterial small subunit ribosomal RNA", at positions 28 to 507 of the family's 1533-position model. The record is from RNAcentral.